GAUUUACUUGUGAGAUUGGUAGGAAACAUCUUAAAUGUAAUCAAACAAUAACUUACAUCUUGAUGAAUUCACGUGUAGGUUUCUCUUCCUCAGAAGAAAUCAGAUGCUGUUCAGAGCACGAAGGCUAGAAUUUUACCCUGGUUCUCAUGCUACCUUGCACCCAGGUUGGAUCCUGAGUACAGUUUUUGGCAGGUGGGCCUGCAUAUAAGUUAGCAAUGGGGGAUACCCAGCUGCCUCUCUUCAUACAGCUGAGGUUUUGGGGAGUCAUUCUUAUAGCCCCUGGGUUGGGCCUAGUCCUGCAAAUGAAUUCACCAGCCCUAAAGCCCAAAUUGCAGCCUCUGUCAUUCACCUUCCAGGAGUGGAAAGGGCAGUAAGUUUCAUCUUAUUAUUAUUGCUAUUUUGGUGGUUUUGUUGAGGUUGGUGUGUGUAUGUUAGUAAGAUAAAGCUCUCAGAAAUUACAUAGCAUUUGUCAAGGAUAUAAGAGGGACUGUGCCACAUCUGGCUGUAUAGAAGGUGGUUCCAUAUCUUUAAAUAGAGCCCCAGGUCCUUAGCCACCAGAAAGGUUUUCAGGGGAAGUGUGCACCCUCAGCAGCUGCUGCUGGUGGGCAGGAUGGGCACGCAUGGAACAGGCUUUCCUCUGUGGCCAGGUGAGAAGCAGGUGGUGAGACACAGAGCAGUGCUGGGCUCUGCUUCUGAAGCCUCCAACCUUUCCUUCCCUAGGAAGCCCCAGAGAGAUUGGUGAGGGUGAUUUCCCAGGAAGACGCAGUGUGCUCUGACUUCUGUGACAGUGAGCAACGGGACCAGUGGAUGUCCAGAUGCUGGCAAUGAGUAGGCCUUCCCUACGCUGGGUGGCGUCCACACCCUCCGGCUUCCAUUGCCUGGGUCUCCUGGAGGUGGUUUGCUGGAUGAAUACCGCAUGCACAGAGGCUGGCCUUGGGUUUGAAUAUGGCAGCCAGUGGACAGCAUGUGCUUCAGUUAUGAGACUGCCCAGGAGAUGCUUCUUCCAAGGCAGAGCACGUGCAGAGUCCAGUGCUGGAGAGGCCGGGUGCGCAGUUGACCCAUUUCCAGUUCUGUUUUCCCUCUCAUGUUCCUCUGUCCCCAUCUAGGACAUGCUCUGGAGUCAGAAGACAGCGAAAAGAGAAGCAGAAGCCCCGGUGGCAAGAGUCUGAAGGAAGGAUGACUGUAGCCUGUGGAUUGUACUGCAGUAGGAAACUGUCCUAGCAAGGCUCCACUUUGCCCCAGCUUCAAGGUAUAUCGUCUCAAAAUGCAGGGGACUUCAGAUGAGUUUUGAGCACCCUUUCUUUUAUUAUAAAAAAAAUUCCAGACAGUUCAGCCAAUACUGACUAAGGGCUGAGACCAGUUCCAUGCUUUUCUGUCUCCAGAGGAAUUUGCUUCCAUCUGGAUGCCUGAAACGGUAUUUUACUUCACCUCCUGUGUCACCGGCAGCAGUCCUGGGAGCCCUGGGGAGGAGGUUUUUGGGAGAGCCAGCUCACAGCCUCUCCAUCACCUUUUAGCCACCCCAGUGCUGGGCAGCCAGGGUGUGGGCUUUUGACUGAAUGCACUUGCCCUCCUGCAUUCAUUACACCAUUGUCAGUGUGUGUGUCUGGGGCUGCCUCUGGGUGUGCAUGGUUUUUUUUGUGUCUGCGUGUCAGUGUCAGGCUAUGUGUGUCUGUUUCUGUCGGCCUGUCUAGGCGCGCUCAGUGCAACAAGGAGCUGGGGGAGGUGGCGGUAAAGAGGAAGGGCAUUUCAAAGCCCAGCUGUCCUCCUCAGGGACCUCAGGAGAUGCGUGUGUGUGUGUGUGUGUGUGUGUGUGUGUGUGUGUGUGUAUUUUUUUCCAUGCUGCUCAUUGUGUGGGGCUGCAUGCGAGUGUCUGACCAGGUGUGGUGUGAGCAGCCGCUGGGCUGGGUGAGCCCCAUCUGCCGUGAGCUCCCAGACUUGCCUUCUAGCCCUCUGCCGCCAUCCAUGGGGAGCCUCUCCCUUCGCAGCUCACCGUCUCUUCUCUAAUUUAUUAGCUGGAAAGGAGGAGAACAUGAAACAUUGCUUGAAGACAAUGGCCGAGACAGCAGGUCCCACCCUGCACAGCCACCAGCAUCUCUCCCCUCAGCCCUGUCUCCUCUUCUGCAGUUGGGAUCUGCACAUUUAAGCCUGAAAUUGUCCUGUGAAGUGAAGUAUGAUCGGACAGCCUCUUUUCAGCUUUUAUGACAAUGGAGACAGAGGAAUUGUGGCUCUUGCCAAGGUCACAGGAUUGGAAUACAGAGCCAAGCCACCCCAGGACAUGCAAGAGCCUCAGAAGGGAAAAAAGCCCAGCAGGAAGGGAGAACAAGUAGCCUCUGUCCUGAAGUUGUAACAGCCAGGGGCCAGGAUGGAGGAGGAGGACCCCAUAAUCUGCCCAUCUGGGACUUGGCAGGGGACCUGGGAAAAUGUACCCCAACCCAUCCCUUAAGGGCCUUUGUCUUUGGCCCAUUGGCCUAGCAUCUACUUCUUCACCGUGUCUGUUCUUGUCACACCUAGUCAGGUCUGUUUGGGUCUGAGGUGCAUGGAACAUUCUGGGUAGGCCUCCAGCAAACGGAAGCUCUUCACCGUGUUUCCAGCCUGGGACCAAGGGCAGCAUACUGGCAAAGUUGCCAAAGCAAGGGACUCCAGCCUCUUAGGAGUUAAUGACUCCCUCUCCCCAGCUGUCCUCCCCUUGGUGCUCCUCUUCCUCCCUCCUCCUGCUCACAGCAGGCAGGGCCUAGACCCGGGAGCCAUGCUGCUGUGCUGUUGCCAGGGGAGCACGGAGGCAGAUCUGAGCUAUGCAGGGAAAAGGCCCAGCCUGUCAAAGUGUCUGAGAUGAACCGCCGCCGUCCCUGUGCAGCUGGGCUCAGACGUGUCUCAGCUCUUGUUCUGUGCCUGAGAAUGGCGAAACCCAGUGAGGUUCAAGGGCAAACUCGCUAUUCAUUAGUCAGGGGUUCUUGACGUCCCGUCUCUCCCAGGGAUGAGUUCCCCCCUCCUCUUUCUCCCCCUCCUAUGACACAUUCCUGGGUGCCUUUGGUGAGGACUGCACACCCUCCUCCUGCCUAGCCCCCUCUCCAAAGGCCCCUGAAUAAACUCCCCCCAAGGAGACCAGGCAGGGCAGAGACAAUGGCUGCAGGAAAUCAUUCAGGCGGGACAUGCUGGCCUGCCCUCCACCCAGUCCCCCUGUGGGCCCCACUCCCUUCUGAUUCAGGGCACCCUUGGGCCCCCAGCCUAUACAGGCCUGGACAGGAAGAAACCACUGGGAACCACCCUAAGGACAACAUGCUAGUCCAGUGCCAUUCUUCGCUGGCUCUGUGGGUGCCUUUGUGGCCUGUACCGACUGGCUGGCUAAUUUUGUGGUUUCUGUACCAUCACAUGCCUAUUUUAAGACACUCUCCAGCACUGUCGGUUAGGGAGUGUAAAUUUUGCAAUAUUUUCUGAAAUGUGGCAAUAUCAAAAUGUAAAAGGCACACAUACUUGGUCACAAACAAAUGGCACUAUUUACUCUGUGGGCAUAUUUGUAAAAGUUGCCAAAGAAUUAUAUACAAGGAUGUUCAUCAGAGCAUUUCUUUUGAAGAGUAAAGAAAUGGACAUGAACCUGUGGUCCGUUCAUACGGUGGAAUACCUAUGCAGCUGUAAAAAUCAGUGUGGUAGAUCUCCGUAUAUGAGUUGAUGUGGAAGGUUGGCCAGUUCACAUGAUAAGGUGAAUAGAAUAAGUUACAGAACAGGCUGUAGAGUAUGAUCUUAUUUGUAGAUGUUUAAAACUGAGUCAUAAGUAUGCUUAUAUACAGAUCGUUUCUGGAAGUAUGUACUGGAAGUCUACCUCUGGGGAGUGGGGAUGGGGGAGUGCACUCUUCUAUACUGUUAUAUUUUCUUUUCAUGCUCCUAAGGUACUUUUAUUGGAAGAUGUAAAGCGGUUCAAUGUAAUAGGCUUAACUUCUGUCAACUAAGUUGGCGUGGGUGCUUUAAGAGGGUGGUAGUGAUGUUGCUGGAGAAAGUAUCCCACAGUCACUGGUGGCUUCAGCCACGGGCCAUUUUGGGGCCUAAUAAUCACAUAUCAUCAUGGUUGCUAGUGUUAAUCGAAAACCUACUAAGUGCCAGGCUUACUGUCUCUGGGUCUUGCUUACGUGGAUGUCAUUUUUCCAGUUGCACCAAAUCGAAAGAGGUUAAUUGGUUUGUUGGAGUUCCUUUGUAGGUGAAGGGCAGAGCCAGGAGCUUGGCUAGGGACAGGGGAGGUGAGUGGGGGAUGGUGGAUAGGUCUUGGCUCCCAGUUUCCUUCUGGGCAGACAUUGCCCCUCUGCCCUGAGGACCUGCUUGUUUGGGGGAAGAGGCCUUUAGAGGCACCAGGGUCAUGCCAGGUGUUGGACAUGGUGAACUGGGAAGUGCUCCCAUCUGGCCACAGCGCAGAAGUAUCACCGUGCUGGGGGAUGGGGAACAGGGCUGUGAAUGGGCCUAUUUGCAUAAGCAGCAUGUGUCUGGAGAGAAAGACAUCACAGAGCAGAAGAGUGCGGGUGCCCAGGAGUGCACUUGCCACCCCUACUUCAUCCCUGAAAGAGUAAAUGGCCUGGAAGGUGUCUCUGAGAGGUAAUGCCGCACACCACCCUCCCUGGGGGCAGGGUCAGGCUACACCUGCCUUAGGUCGGGGGCUGCAGCAGCCUGAGAGCUCUCAGUAGGGCCUCAGUAGCCUGGGAGGGAGCAGGGGCAGGGGGCAGGGAAAGAGGCGUAAUGGGGCUGUCCAGAGGGGCCUGGGAAACCUGGUCCCUGAGGCCUGGGCACAGCUACAAUCACUUCAAAUUGGCUGUGGGGCCAGUGGACUGGGAAGGAAAAAAGCAAUAAGAGUGACCAAGUGCAGAAGGCUGUCAGGUCCCAGGUCACAUGCCUUAGUGCAGUGACUCCUCAUCAUUUUAUGGGGUGUGGGUGUCGUUGGUACACCCAUUUUACAGAUGAGGACACCGAGGCCCAGAAAAGUUAAGUUACAUGUCCUAAGUCACACAGCUUGUAAGUGCCAGAACUGAGAUCAAAACCAAGUCUCUUUGACUUUAAAGUCUGUACUCUGACCCCAAAGAGAUCCUGUUUGGCCACUUAUAGGAGGUCCCUAAAGCUGCAGACUCCCCUUGCCGGCACCCACAUAUAGAGACAUUAACCCUUCCCCUGCAGGGUCACCUCAAAUAGUCUUUUAGCUGGGCUUCUCCUGCAAUUCCACCUAAUGCCAUCCCCUGGGUUUUGCCCAAACCUGAACUGGGCAGUGGGGUGAGAGGAGGGGUUUACAGGGUUACAGAGCCUCAUACAGAUAGGAGCCCAUGGCUGCUGGUCAUCUGCAUUCCUGCAGGAUUGGCUGUUCCUUGGGGUCCUUGGCAGGAAAAUGAGGAUUGCUCCGAGGCCUGCUCCAGUACUUCCCAGAGGCUGGCCUGGUGUGGGGCUCUGGGAAGGCUGAGGCUGGAGAAGCGUAAGUAGGAGGGCAGAGAUGGCACUCAGGUAGCUUGAAUCACCAGGACCCUUCCAAGCCCCACAGGUUCUGAGGGAGUACUAGGGCCAGCUCUGGGAGAGGUCUCUUCCUAUGCUGUGAACCCCCUGCCUUUCUUGCAGCCUACAACGAAUAAAUUUUCUUUGCAA
RNAcentral lists this long non-coding RNA (5607 nucleotides) under Homo sapiens (human). Its description in RNAcentral is "MIR9-3 host gene". Lineage: Eukaryota; Metazoa; Chordata; Mammalia; Primates; Hominidae. The record is from RNAcentral.